This is a long non-coding RNA of Canis lupus familiaris (dog), 1475 nucleotides long. RefSeq lists it as uncharacterized. The record is from RefSeq and is a predicted model, not a curated record. The transcript is spliced from 3 exons. Lineage: Eukaryota; Metazoa; Chordata; Mammalia; Carnivora; Canidae.
UGGAAAUGGCUGAUCUAACGUAAGUGGCUAAUCUGCAUGGAAAUCUGUGCCCAGUGAACAGAGAGAUGAAAAUUCCUGUAAUCUCCCUGUGGAGAGUUUGAACUCCAGGAUCUCUAGAGAUGGCACUGAAGCUCUUUCUGCAUGAGAUCGGUUGUAUGGGACCAGGCUGGAUGGUGGAAGCUCCCUCUAGGAAAGGGACCCCUGGUACAUGAAGGGAAGUUCCAGAAACCCCAAUCAGCUGGCAGUAGCAGGACUGGGACCGUCACCUGAGGGACAUGAAGAAACGUUCGUUACAAAAGUUCUCUUUGUAUGUCAGAAUUCUAUAGAGUCAUUUAGAAGUCAAGAAAAUAAAAUAGGAAUGGAUGACAAGCAGAACAGUGAUUACAGAAAGAAAAUGACUGUGCAGUUAUGGAAAAUCUUUUAUUGAAGAAAACAGACUCCUAUAAUCUUGUGGAAAAAUGGAAAUUGAUUAAAGGGGGUCUUCCCGGAACUUCUAGACGAGGCCUGUGGAUACCUCUCCCAUUCAUGAGCAGGUCUGCCCUGAGCUGGAGCCACCCCAACUGAAACGAACUCCCAAGCUGCUUAGUCUAACUAUCUACAUGCUUUGUUACUGAGCCUCACCCUCAGAGCACAGGCUUGGGGCAGCUGCCAGACCCCUGCAGGGCUCCCAAGGCUCCCUCACUACCUACUAAUGUGGAUCCCUUGAGUUGCCAGGCCUCUGCUCAGGGAAGCCUGACUCCCCACUAGGAUUGGCACUGGUUUCUGAACACUGCCUGAUGCCCAGGGGCCUGCUUUACCUGGCCUGACUGCAGGUGAUAUGCACCUGCCACAGCUCUCCACCCAUGGCCUGGCAUCUGCUUCCUCAUCUUGGCCCUCCUGGUGUUCUUUGGCUGAUGACCAAGACUGCUGGAUGGUGGGCUGUCCUUGGAUACCAGGCAUCUAGUGCCCUGACAGAAACUGGGCCUCAAUUCCUUCAUCCUUCCACCCUGCCUGGCACUAUCUGAGUCAUGACCCUCAGGUACUCUGCUCAUGCUGCAGGCUGCUCUCAGCAGCAACCUCCACUUUCAGAAAGUUCUACUGGCCUGUUUUGUGGGAGUCUCCUGUUGUGCUGCUUCUGCAUGACCACCCCCUCCUGCCCUUCCAUGGACAUCCUGACAAUAACCCAGGGUCAGAUACGAUGUUUGGACCCUGCCUUUAGGAAGCUUAUCAAAUUACAAGGUAAAUCAUAAUCCUUAGCAUUGCGGCGCAUUACAUCUGGGGUCUGUAUCUAACUGAACUCCCACUAAAUUUAUGUGACUUAACUCAAGGUCAUACAGCCAGUUAGGAGGUGUGGAGCUGGCAUCAGCAUUCAAUUGCCUCAUUCCUGUCUUACAGGAUAUUAGAGUCCACUGCUAUCUGUGUCUAUGCAUUAACAAAUCUUACCAAAGCUGCUGAAAUCUGGAAUUGAAAAUGAACCAUGUCCUAUAGAAAAACAG